This 1022-nucleotide long non-coding RNA is filed under the name Equus asinus (donkey). RNAcentral's name for it is "lncRNA (ENSEASG00005026520.1)". Lineage: Eukaryota; Metazoa; Chordata; Mammalia; Perissodactyla; Equidae. The record is from RNAcentral.
UCGGCACCCGCCGGCAGGCCGAGCGCUGACGUCCCGCCCUCCCGGAGGGGCUGGGCGCCCGAUCCCUCCUUCCCCUAGCUCCAGGCACCCGGCAGAAGUGCUCGGGAGCUGUUCCUCGAUGCGGCUGCACGGCGUCCCGAUGUAUCAUGGAAGCAGCUUAAGACGGGAGUGGGAAGGGCAGAAACAUGCUCCAGACACAUCAACCAACAUAAACUCUUGAAAUUUUGCUAUAGGAUUGAUCUGAGAUGGGCUUUUUGACAGUUCCUGCCAAUGAGAGGGAAGUAUAGUCAGCCAGGGGCUUCUGGGAAAGAUGGUAUGGAAGAUCUCUUUUGCCCUUUCUUUCCUGCCUGUAACACUGCUGUAUGAGGUACAAUGUUGGAGCUGCCUCAGCCAUCUGGUGAUUUGAAGGGAGACUGAGGAUGACUGAGCAGAAAGAAAGAAAGAGACACUGCACCAUGCCGGGAUUGUCUUCAUGCAGACUGUCGAAAAAUAGAUCUCAGAAAAUGUUUUUGGUCUUCAGAGAUGAUUAAGAUGAAGUCAUCGGGUGGGCCCUAAUCCAAUAGGACUGUGUGUUUAUAAAAUGGGGAGAUUUGGACACAGAAACACACACACACACACACUGGGAGAACGCCAUGUGAAGAUGAAGGCAGAGAUUGGACUGAUGCUUCUACAAACCAAGGAACGCCAAAGACUGCCAGCAAACCACCAGGAGCUAGGAGAGAGGCGUGGAACAAAGGCUCCCUCACAGCUGUCAAGAGAACCAGGCUGCCAACACCCUGAUCUUGGACUUCUAACCCCAGAGCUGUGAUACAACAAAUAGCUGUUGUUUAAGCCACACAGUUUGUGGUACUUUCUUGUCGCAGUCCUACAGACUAAAAUACCAGGUAGUCAAGAAGUAGAAACUCAGCAGAUAGAAUAAAUAACUCAGCAGUCUUAAAUUUUUGACUUGGGAGAACCCAUUAUGUUUGUUUAUUAAUAACAUUAAUUUCAGUCUUUUUUCAAAAAAAUUUUUUAUUGUGGUC